UGGGGGGCCCUUCGGGAGGCAGCAGUGGGGAAUAUUGCACAAUGGGCGAAAGCCUGAUGCAGCAACGCCGCGUGGGGGAUGACGGCCUUCGGGUUGUAAACCUCUUUUGGCAGGGAAGAAGCGAAAGUGACGGUACCUGCAGAAAAAGCACCGGCUAACUACGUGCCAGCAGCCGCGGUAAUACGUAGGGUGCGAGCGUUGUCCGGAAUUAUUGGGCGUAAAGAGCUCGUAGGCGGUUCGUCGCGUCUGCUGUGAAAUCCCGAGGCUCAACCUCGGGCCUGCAGUGGGUACGGGCGAACUAGAGUGCAGUAGGGGAGACUGGAAUUCCUGGUGUAGCGGUGGAAUGCGCAGAUAUCAGGAGGAACACCGAUGGCGAAGGCAGGUCUCUGGGCUGUAACUGACGCUGAGGAGCGAAAGCGUGGGGAGCGAACAGGAUUAGAUACCCUGGUAGUCCACGCCGUAAACGUUGGGCGCUAGAUGUGGGGACCAUUCCACGGUUUCCGUGUCGCAGCUAACGCAUAAGCGCCCCGCCUGUAACUG
This 540-nucleotide ribosomal RNA is filed under the name Agromyces insulae. RNAcentral describes it as "bacterial SSU rRNA". It matches the Rfam family "Bacterial small subunit ribosomal RNA", at positions 327 to 873 of the family's 1533-position model. The record is from RNAcentral. Lineage: Bacteria; Bacillati; Actinomycetota; Actinomycetes; Micrococcales; Microbacteriaceae.